UACUGUAUGGCACAUCUACAGGUUGAAAGAAGGUAACCACAUCUAAACCAGAGCAGAAAGGUGGGAGCCUUUUGCUGGCAAUGCAUUAGUUCAUCUCUUCACAACUUCAGAAAGACUUGGGGAAGCUAAGUGAACAGAAGCUGCAAGGAUGAGAAAUCAAUCAAUGGACUGUGCAUGUGUAGAAGUGAGAAGCGUGCUAACUGCAGCUCUGAAGAAGCACCCUGAUUGCCAAUUUAAUGGAGAUGCAUAGACCCAUGAGAAGACAAUGGGCCAACUGUAUCCCUAGUAAAAGCCACAUGAAAAGUGGAAUUGCACUAGGUAUGACUUUACCCCAAUGUGUUUAGCUUACCAGCUGUCUUGUUUGUAUGGCUACAUGAGCCCAUGCCAUCCUUGCCUCUUCUGUAAAUACAGAACUGGGGAAUAUUUAUAUUCUGUAAUCUCCAUACUAUGCAGUAUGGUGGAGGUAAAUUUCACUGGGCCUGUAAUGUGACUGAUAUGUGAGGGAGAAUGUGUUUUGAUAUCUCUGUAUAGAGCAUCCCUCUACUAGUCUAAUUUAAUUGAAAGAAAAUGAUAGUGAUCCAAGAUGAAUGUUCCAGGCUGAAGGUGACUAACUUGAUGGUGACAAAAGCUUUAAAAUAACCCCUUCUCCCCCCCCCCCUUUUUUUUUACACUAAAAUAAUGCUUCAAUAAUAUGAGGUGAAGGAGAAAUUCCAUCUGAGCAAAGGAAUGGGAGCCAGCUGCUAGGGAAGAAUGUGGAACAAGAUCUGCAGGAGAACGUAUGAAACAUAUUAGGAAAAGACAGAUUAACCUAUCAAGACCUACAUUUUAGUUUCUGUUUCUCCUAAAGAGUUGAUGACUACACAAAUAUUUUAAACACUAUAAGAAGUCAAUUUCCCUCCUGCCCUGCUGCUUUAGGUUUUUUUUAAUGUCAUCUCCUCUUCCUGGAGAAUCUUGAAUUCAGGCCAGGAAGAUGAGAGGAAAAAACUUUCAAACUCUCUGAAAAUGAAACAUCACUGACGAAUGGAAAUGAGGUGCUUCGAUAUCUUCACUGUUGCCCUUCUCCAUUAGACACGGUCUGCAAGGAGAAGGCUGGGACUUGCAAACUCCAACUAAGAAUGAAAGCAAGCAACUAAGAAUGAAUAUUCCUUCAACUGCUGUAUGUCUAGGGCGAGAAUGAAUCCAUGAGCUAUGAUGGCAUCGCUGUUGGAGUUUUCUGCACAUUCUAAGCAUCAUGGCAUUGAGCUAUUGCUCACAGAGUUGAGAAAAUUAUAUGAUACCAGCUUUUCAGAAUGAUUAAAUUACUGAAUAUCUAUGGAAAGGGGAAAAAUUGAAGGAAAUAAUUGAAUGAUUCCCUUUAGAAAACUCUGCAAAGGUGCAACCAUCAAAGGCAAGUGAUUGGGAGGAAAAUGGUAAUUUAUAACCAAUUAAAGUUGGGUGUGUAGAAAGGGAAACACAAUAAGAGCUUUAAAAAAAUAAUUUGCAAAUAUCACUUUUAUACUAAAACUAUGUAUUUCAGAAUGUGGGUGAAGGGGUGGAAAAAAGUAUGGUUUAGGAUGAGCACUGUGGCUUUCUAAACGAAGAAUACAGUAUAGAGAGCUGUGGUGUUCAGGGUUGCUAGUAAAAGGAAAGGUUAAGCACCUCGAAAACAGAACUGGACCUAAGCUACAGAAUUUGGAUUCAAGAUCAGAUAUGGAUUUUGACCCCAUGCUCACAAGUUCGGAUGCAUUCUGAUGCUGGGCUCCAACAAUUUGGUUUUGGAAACUUUCAGGGUUUCAAUUUUUGAGCAUCUGUGUUUCCACAAUUUUGUGCUGAAUUAGGAUCUUUAAAAAAUGUUACUAUAAAAACACCACAUCAAGUGCAAGAUGGUUACAAUCUGCCCAGGAACAGUCUAGUAGAAUCAAACUGUUUUUAGUUAUCAAAAGUGUGUCAUUUAUUAAAUUCCUAGAAAUAAAAUCUUGCAUGGUGCACUGAAAUAAAAACCCCAUUCACAAGUGCAAAUACUGGUGCGUACUGUCUGUGUGGGAGAACAAUGGCAUAAAUAGUCAUCUGAGUGCACAGAAGUAAAAUCUAUGUUUAAAUAUAGAAUUUUCUAAAGGUGGUCUCAUUUUGUUGCAAAUUAUUAAGAAAAUGUAGCUAAACUAUCCAAUAUACCUGAUGCGAAUACUCUAACUAAACAAUUGUUAUUGCUAUAGACCAGAGUACCUAAUUUAUACAGAGGUCUACUGAAUCUUAGAUAAACCUAGCUUACAAAAAUCUUUAGGGCAAAGGCUACAUUAUGGAGAUGUAUCGGGCGGGAGUUGAGGGGAGAGAGAACAGGAUUGUGGUUUUUUUUUGGUUUUUUUUCCUAUUCCUGACAAUAUAUUAGGCUAAAUCUCUCCAAGGCUUAAUCUAGAGUGUAGUAUUUAAACCCCCUAUAAAGAAAAGGAGUGAUCCAACCUUCUCCUCCUCCUCUCUCUCCUACUCCAGAGAGAAAUCCUCAGUGAUGAAUAUAAACAUGGUAGAUAAACAAAAGAGAUGAAUAAGAAAUAGCUCCAGACAGUUGCCAUGGAAUGCUUUCAUGUGUGAAAAUAUUGGUUAUUUCAAUGCUCAAAGUAUCACUGAAGUUAGACAAAACAUAGAUAACUCCGAGUUUGUUAAAUAAUGUUUAGCCAUGUGACUGAAAACCACUAGAAGGAUGCUUAUACCCACGAAUGUGGUAAAUUCAUCUGGAGUAGUUUAAGUUCAAUCAAUAUUUAAUUAAUUUAAAACUAAGAACUGGAGUCAAUUUAAGAACAGACUAAAAUCUGUUCAUACUUUUAUACAAUUGCUUCAGUAAAAGAUUAAAACAUACUGACACAUGGAACUGGAGUAUCCUAUGAUGCAGCUACAUUUUGUAAGAAUGAAUAUGACUGAUGGCAUGCUUUUAAGAAAAGAAAGCUUCACUCAUACCAGUGGCUUGUUUAAAUGACUAUGCCAAGACUUAAAUGAAUCACUAUCUAGAACAGUGAAUUUCAAAGUUCGGGUCGCGACCCAGUACUGGGUCACAGAAUGCAAGGCACUGGGUCGCUUUGCUCAGCACCCUGGCAGCCGGCCAGUAAAAACUAGUAGUCCCUACCUGUUCUGACACCGCACUGCGCCCCAGAAGUGGCCAGCAGGUCCGGCUCGUAGGCAGGGGGCCAUGGAGGUUCUGUGCGCUGCCCUUGCACCGAGCACUGGCUCUGUACUCCCAUUGGCCAGUUCCCAGCCAAUGGGAGCUGGGGGGGUGCCUGUGGGCGAGAGCCACACAGAGCUGCUUGUGUGCCUCCACCUAGGAGCCGGACCUUCCGGACGCUUCCGGGGCACAACACAGUUCGCAGCGCCAGGAUAGGCAGGAAGCCUGCCUCUGCACCCCGGCUGCGCUGCUGACCAGGAGCCACAGGAUGUAAGCCCGCACCCCUGCACCAGCCCUGAGCCCCCUCCCACACCCUGAAUCCCUAAUUCCUGGCUCCACUCCACAGCCCUCAUCCCCGCAUCCCAACCCUCUGCCCCAGCCCUGAGCCCCCUCCCACACCCCAUCCGUUUGGUCACGGGCAUCAACAACUUUCUUCAACCGGGUCGCCAGAAAAAAAGUUUGAAAGCUACUGAUCUAGAACAGUAUCUAGGGCAGAAAGAAUUUUUGAAACUGAUAAUGCUGUCAGGUCUCAAUCUCAACUGUUAAAAACUGAGAAUCAUCAUGAGGUCAACAGUUUGAAACAAUUCAGAUGUAAAAAAAACCCCUCCGAUACAUGAAGGAAUGUAGUGUAUUUUCUACACAAAUAAGCAUCGAUAACUAGAAAUGAAUAAUGCAUCUAUUUACCAUUUGUUGUCUAGCUUCUUCAAAGGCACGUUUUUCCUCUUCCAAACGUUGUCUUGCCUCCUCCUCUGCCUGCCUUCUUUGAUUUUCUUGUCUUUGUCUUUCCAGUUCUUCAAAUGUUAAUUUCAGUUUCCCAGGAGAAAGAGGUUCAUUUGUUUCACUG
Chrysemys picta bellii (western painted turtle) is the source of this 3974-nucleotide non-coding RNA. Lineage: Eukaryota; Metazoa; Chordata; Testudines; Emydidae. The record is from RefSeq and is a predicted model, not a curated record.